CAUUGGCACUAUGGCGCAUGUAUGUUGAGUUCUUGAAGCAUUGCCGAUAUCGAUAUAUAUUUCUUUGCAUGGGACAGUAGCCUUUUCUGCGGCGGAUCGUUUCCUUUUCUCCAAUCAUAAAUAACCUGAUCUCUUUCUUUGUCUUUCAUCAAAUAAGUACAAGAAUUGCAUAGAUGAGGAUUCGGUAUUGAUCGCUAAAAUGCGAGAA
Molecule: microRNA precursor, 208 nt
Filed under: Oryza sativa (Asian cultivated rice)
Lineage: Eukaryota; Viridiplantae; Streptophyta; Magnoliopsida; Poales; Poaceae
Description: miR5505 stem-loop (osa-MIR5505)
Source: miRBase by way of RNAcentral